Molecule: ribosomal RNA, 497 nt
Filed under: uncultured bacterium
Lineage: Bacteria
Description: partial 16S ribosomal RNA
Rfam family: Bacterial small subunit ribosomal RNA
Source: RNAcentral
GAUGAACGCUGGCGGCGUGCCUAAUACAUGCAAGUCGAGCGAACGGACGAGAAGCUUGCUUCUCUGAUGUUAGCGGCGGACGGGUGAGUAACACGUGGAUAACCUACCUAUAAGACUGGGAUAACUUCGGGAAACCGGAGCUAAUACCGGAUGAUAUUUUGAACCGCAUGGUUCAAAAGUGAAAGACGGUCUUGCUGUCACUUAUAGAUGGAUCCGCGCUGCAUUAGCUAGUUGGUAAGGUAACGGCUUACCAAGGCAACGAUGCAUAGCCGACCUGAGAGGGUGAUCGGCCACACUGGAACUGAGACACGGUCCAGACUCCUACGGGAGGCAGCAGUAGGGAAUCUUCCGCAAUGGGCGAAAGCCUGACGGAGCAACGCCGCGUGAGUGAUGAAGGUCUUCGGAUCGUAAAACUCUGUUAUUAGGGAAGAACUUAUGUGUAAGUAACUGUGCACAUCUUGACGGUACCUAAUCAGAAAGCCACGGCUAACUACGUG